UGGGGAAUAUUGGACAAUGGGCGAAAGCCUGAUCCAGCCAUGCCGCGUGUGUGAAGAAGGUCUUCGGAUUGUAAAGCACUUUAAGUUGGGAGGAAGGGCAUUAACCUAAUACGUUAGUGUUUUGACGUUACCGACAGAAUAAGCACCGGCUAACUCUGUGCCAGCAGCCGCGGUAAUACAGAGGGUGCAAGCGUUAAUCGGAAUUACUGUGCGUAAAGCGCGCGUAGGUGGUUUGUUAAGUUGGAUGUGAAAGCCCCGGGCUCAACCUGGGAACUGCAUUCAAAACUGACGGACUAGAGUAUGGUAGAGGGUGGUGGAAUUUCCUGUGUAGCGGUGAAAUGCGUAGAUAUAGGAAGGAACACCAGUGGCGAAGGCGACCACCUGGACAAAGACUGACGCUCAGGUGCGAAAGCGUGGGGAGCAAACA
Molecule: ribosomal RNA, 427 nt
Filed under: uncultured bacterium
Lineage: Bacteria
Description: partial 16S ribosomal RNA
Rfam family: Bacterial small subunit ribosomal RNA
Source: RNAcentral